CAGCAGAGAAAUGGGUAACGUUAAGCACAUUUAAUAACUCAUUCAAUAUAAAUAAUGUUAAAUCAGAAUGCUGUCAAACUACACUAGCAGCCACUAAGAAUGAAUCCUAUCUGUAAACAACUCAUGCAAAUCAGCUGAAUAUCACCCUUAACACAGGUUCUUAGUGUCAAAUAAAUUUCCAGAAGCAAAAAAAGUUAUAGUUAUCUAUUCCUUGUCAUUGUCUUUAAGUGUAUUCCUGAUCUCUGGUGUUUAAAUAAUUAGACAAAGUAUAUAUACAUACAAACAUACAUGCAAUAUCUUGACUGUAUUUUAAAAAAGAAAGGCAAUAAAGAAUUCUUAGGCUCAAAUGAAAGGGAAAUUGAGGACUGAAGGAAGAAAGCUGGUUGGAAUCUGCUUUUGUCCCAAAAGGAUUUGUUGAUCCAAGAAAAUUACUUUAUUUGUGUUGUCACCUUCACAAAGAAGGAGAGAGGGGACAGAAAUCAAAGCCUGGUGAGUAUAAGGUGGAAAGCUGAACAGGAAAUCCAGCUGAAUAGACUAUACUCUUAAGGUGAAGAUGAAUCAGAUAUAGUAUAUCCCACAUGGAUUUAUAUUCAGAUUUUAAUCUCCCAUGUUGUUUAGGGAUAUUUUAAAUCUUGAGAACAUAUUAAAGUAGUCCUGGAGGCUGUGACCAUGGUCUCCUAGCAGAAACAAAUGCCAAUCUUUGGAGAAAAAUAUUUCCAUUACAGACUUUCAUUUUACUUCUGAAGAUUUUUAUCAAAUACAUGGUGUAACACAUAGACAGUAAAGAUGAUUCACACAAGGAAAAUAAACUUUUUGAGCAAAACCCAGCAAAAAUAACAAACAAGAGCAACAAAUCUGCAUAGAAAUCAGACUUGGGAAAUGGUCAUCCCAGAUCUUACCAUAAUUACAAUGACACAUUUAAAGAACUAAGACACUUGCUAUAAAACUAUAAGCUCUAACAAUGUGACAUAGAAGAUUUGAAAACAAAAUAUAUUUUCUAGAAUCAAAAAUAUUGCAAUAAAUAACUCAUUAGACAAGUUGUAAAGGGGAACUAGAUAGAGUUAACAACAAAUUACUGAAUUUAAAAAUAAGUUAGGUGAAAAUAUUCUGAGACAAAAAUAUAGAAAAUACAGAAGGAGGAUAAAAGAGAGACUAUUGUGAGAAAGUCAAAGAAAAAGGUUACGCAAAGUCCAGAAGAAGAAGACAAUGGGGCGUUAUUAAGGCACUAUUUAAAAAAGAGAAUAGCUAAAAUUUUUACAAUACUAAUUAAAGACGUCAGUAUAAAUAUUCAAAAGCUCAGGAAAUCCCAAGCAGAUUGCAUAAAUUAAACGGUAGAUUUAAAUUCUAAUAUAUAAUGAAUUUUAUUAAAGACAAAUGUGCUACAUAUUCUAUGUAGAGUCACAGAUUGCCAAAUGGGGUUAUGAAAAAGAGAUAUAAAGCAUAAGAACACAGAACGACCAGAAGUUAAAGGAUAGAUAAAGAGGUUUCAUGAAAAUCCCCCCAAAAAGAAGCUGGAAUGGUGUCAGACAAGCAGAUCUUAGGAGAAAUAUUGGUAGAAUUAAAACACUUCAAAAUGACAAACAGGAAUCUAUCAACCAGGAAGAUAUCUCAACUUUAGUUUGUAGGCAGUAAGAGUAUAGCCUCAAAAUAUAUUAAUCAAAAUUGAUAGAAAUAGACAAACCUACCUUUACGUGGAUGAUUUUAAUACACUUCUCUCAAUAACUAAUAGUAAAAUCAGACAAAAAGGAGGCAAUUAAGUGUGUAAAAAAUUUGAAGAGCAUAAUUAGCAAUGUGUACUUUAGGAACAUUGUUCAAAAUUGACUGAAUACCAGGUCAUAAAAUAAUUAUCAGCAAUAUCAAAGUAUAGAAAAUUACAUAGGGUGUGUUCUAAACUGUAACAUAGCAAGGGGUUCCCAUUGUGGCUCAGUGGAAAGGAAUCGGACUAUUACACAUGAGGACUCACGUUCCAUCCUUGGUCUCACUCAGUGGGCUAAGGAUCCAGCAUUGCCAUGAGCUGUGGUGUGGGUCGCAGAUGUGGCUCAGAGCCCUCAUUGCUGUGGCUGUGGUGUAGGCCAGUGGCUACAGUUCCAAUUUCACCCCUAACCUGGAAAACUCCAUAUGCUGUGGUUGCAGCCCUAAAAAAGACAAUAAUUUUUUUAAAUUAAAAAAUGAAUAAAACAUAGCAAAAGACCCUGAUAAAUUUAGAAAUUAAUAUGAUUCAUUGCUAUUUCUAUUCUGAUUAGUCAAGGCAAAAUCAUUGGAAAAUCCACUACUCUCGGGAUCUUAACAAUAAUUUUUGCUAAAUAUCGGAAAAUCACAAGCUUAGAAAUUUAAAAAUACACUUUAAAAAAAAGUAGAUAAAAAAAUUACAGUGGAAAUUAGAAAAUACUUUAAACUAAAAAAUAAUGAAAAGUAUAGGUCUUAACUCAGUAUUUAUUAGGCACAAUGAUACUCAUUCUUUUUCUUUUUCUUUUUUUUUAUUUAUUUUUGCUUUUUAGGGCUGCACCCAUGGCAUAUGGAGGUUCCCAGGCUAGGGGUUGAAUUGGAGCUGUAGCUGCCAGCCUACACCAUAGCAGCAGCAAUGCCAGAUCUGAGCAGAGUCUGCGACCUACACCACAGCUCACGGCAAGCCCAGAUCCAUAACCCACUGAGCAAGGCCAGGAAUCGAACCUGCGUCCUCAUGACUGCUGGUCAGAUUCAUUUCUGCUGAACCACAACAGGAACUCCCUCAUUCUUUUUCUCUUUAACCUCUGUUUCCCUGAUGUUUCAAUAUCUCCAAGUAUUAUUUUAAAUGAUACAUUCAGUAUUCCUCUCUUCUCACAUCUAAAAAAAAGAGUCUGUAAAUUUUGCCUAUUUUUUAAGUGACCCUUAACUGUGCCUCCUAAAUCUGCUUCCUUCUCUUCAUCCUCACAGCCACUUUCUAAUUCAGGCCACCAUCAUCAUCAUCUCUCCUAGAUCACUGCAGCAGCUUCUUAUGCCUGCUUUCUAACCCUGUGUUGUCCAUUGCCAAGCAGAGUGAUUAUUUCUUAAAUUAAACCUAAUCAUGUCACUUCCCUGCUUUUCAAAGAAAAGUAGAGAAAAGAAAGCAAAAAAAAAAUGUUGACUUUUUUCUGCUUUUCCCAUGGGAUGUAAAACAUCUCUCUUUAAUCUGUCAAGUAAACUGAUAUAUAAAUAUAUAUAUUUAUAGUUUGACCUUAUAAGGCCAUGAAUAUAUACAUAUAUAUAUUUAUGUAUUUAUUUAUCUAUAUCUUUUGAGAGAGAGAAAGAGAAAGAAACUAACAUGACGGUAUAUGAUGAUUUCUAUUGUAUUAAUUUAUCUUUUUUAAAAUUCUUAAAUUAGCACAUAACUUUUACAAUCAGGGAAAUACAAAUAUUAACUCUCAAAAAUAACUCAGUCGAAUAUCACUUCUACAGACAACUCCUAUCUAAUCACUCAGUCUGAUGGAAAGCCUCAUUUUCUCUGAUCCGUAGCAUACCUCCAUAUAUUUAAACCACAACUGUGAGCUUGUUGGUCUGGCCUCAAAGAUUUGUUAGCUCUUUGAGGAAAGGGGUCUUCCCUUAUUUUUGUGUGUUCUCAUUAUUCUGUGCAGGACUUCAUUACAUAAGCAGGCCUAUGUCUCUUGAUAAUAUGUGUUAAUUUCUCCAGCAGGUAAGCCAGUGCACUUUUAGAGCUUUCUUUCAUUUUCCUUUAAUUUUGCUAUAUCACUUAACAAAUAAAUAUUUAUUUUUAUAUACCCAAAUUCUGAUCCUCGUGCUAUUCAUAAAAUCCCUUAUUUUUAUGUCUUCCCAUUAUGGUAUAAAUUAGGUGAUUUAUAUGGAUAUUUUAUGUCACUCAAAUCUCUAAUUGUAAUAAUUUGAAUUGUAUAACAAGAGUAAUUCAUAUUCAUUGUAGGGAAAAAAAGCAAAUGUAUUCCACUUUGAAAAGAAAAAAAUCAUAGUUAUUAUUUUUUAUAUGUUCUUCCACAUUUUUCCUGACUCAAUAGAUAUUUAUAUGCUUAUUUAGUUAGUUAAUUAACUACUACAAAGUUAGAAUAUAAAUGUUAUUUUCCUAUCAACAAUAUUUAAUGGUAAAUUUUUACAGCAUCAUUUUAGUGGUUCUAUAGUAUUCCCUAUUAUGUUGAAUGUUAAUAUUUUGUCUAUGUUUUUACUCUUCUGAAAAAUGUAGUUUUGUAUAUAAUUUUGUACACAUAUUCACAAGUGUUUCCUUAGAAUAAAUUCCUAGAAAUAAAAUUGUUAAUUACAAAUGGGCAGAUAUGUUUUAAAUCUUUUUCCUAAUGAAUAGUUUAAUCACUAAAAGUAUUGAAUUCUUAGACUCAUUUUCAGCAUUGGUAGAAAAUACUGGUCACUUUCAACAAUUAUGUGAGCUAAUUGGCAAGAGGUAAAAAAUUCUGAUAUUUAGAAGCUCCCUUCGUGGCUCAGUGGUAAUGACCCUGACUAGUAUCCAUGAGGACAUGGAUCCCUGGCCUCUCAGUAGGUUAAGGAUCUGGCAUUGCCGUGAGCUGUGGUGUAGGUCACAGGCACGGCUUGGAUCUCAUGUUGCUGUGGCUGUGGCACAGGCUGAAAGCUGCAGCUCCAAUUUGAUCCCUAGCCCAGGAAUUUCCAUAUGCCGUACCUGUGACUAUAAAAAGCAAAAAAACAGUAAUGGUAAUAAUUCUGAUAUUUAAAUUCUGUUUAGAAUGAGCAAUAUUAAGUUGCCUUUUAAAUUCUCAAAAUCUAGUCAGAGCAAGUCUGAAAACAGCACAAAUAGUUUCAGCAAUUAAAUACGGUCCGUUGAUAUGUAAAAGAUGGUAGGUCCACAUGAAGAGCUCUAAAAUAAAUCACAAUUACAUGGUACUAUAAAUGCAUCCACUAAGUGUAGGAACACACUUAGGUGCCUAAUUAUAUGGGAAAUGUAAUCACAUCCCAGGCAGGAACCUAAGCCACAAAACCUGUUCCUACUUGAGCCAUUGUGUUCUAUAAACCCUAGGAUUCCACAGUGGUUUCAGGGCUUUCCAGACUUUCUACAAAUUUGUCCCAGUUUUUACUUUAUAUCUCUCUCCUUAAUGCCCA
RNAcentral lists this long non-coding RNA (5049 nucleotides) under Sus scrofa (pig). RNAcentral's name for it is "lncRNA (ENSSSCG00000057648.1)". Lineage: Eukaryota; Metazoa; Chordata; Mammalia; Artiodactyla; Suidae. The record is from RNAcentral.